AGGGAAUAUUGGUCAAUGGGCGAAAGCCUGAACCAGCCACGCCGCGUGCAGGAAGAAGGUCCUCUGGAUUGUAAACUGCUUUUGCCAAGGGAUAAAGAGAGGCUAUACGCCUAAAUGAAGGUACUUGGUGAAUAAGCCACGGCUAACUACGUGCCAGCAGCCGCGGUAAUACGUAGGUGGCAAGCGUUGUCCGGAUUCACUGGGUUUAAAGGGUGCGUAGGCGGCUCCAUAAGUCAGUCGUUAAAGGUAUGGGCUUAACCCAAAUAAGGCGAUUGAUACUGUGGAGCUUGAAUUCGUUGGAGGUAUCCGGAAUGCGUAGUGUAGCGGUGAAAUGCACAGAUAUUACGCAGAACACCAAUUGCGGAGGCAGGAUACUACGACGAGAUUGACGCUGAGGCACGAAAGUGUGGGGAGCGAAC
This 419-nucleotide ribosomal RNA is filed under the name uncultured bacterium. Its description in RNAcentral is "bacterial SSU rRNA". It matches the Rfam family "Bacterial small subunit ribosomal RNA", at positions 356 to 773 of the family's 1533-position model. The record is from RNAcentral.